This 1469-nucleotide ribosomal RNA is filed under the name uncultured marine bacterium. RNAcentral's name for it is "bacterial SSU rRNA". It matches the Rfam family "Bacterial small subunit ribosomal RNA". The record is from RNAcentral.
GAGUUUGAUCAUGGCUCAGAACGAACGCUGGCGGCAGGCCUAACACAUGCAAGUCGAGCGCACCCUUCGGGGCGAGCGGCGGACGGGUUAGUAACGCGUGGGAAUGUACCCUUUUCUACGGAAUAGCCAUUGGAAACGAUGAGUAAUACCGUAUACGCCCUUUGGGGGAAAGAUUUAUCGGAGAAGGAUCAGCCCGCGUUAGAUUAGAUAGUUGGUGGGGUAAUGGCCUACCAAGUCUACGAUCUAUAGCUGGUUUUAGAGGAUGAUCAGCAACACUGGGACUGAGACACGGCCCAGACUCCUACGGGAGGCAGCAGUGGGGAAUCUUAGACAAUGGGCGCAAGCCUGAUCCAGCCAUACCGCGUGUGUGAAGAAGGCCUUCGGGUUGUAAAGCACUUUAAGCAGGGAGAAAAAGUUAUAAGUUAAUACCUUAUAACCCUGAUGUUACCUGCAGAAUAAGCACCGGCUAAUUCCGUGCCAGCAGCCGCGGUAAUACGGAAGGUGCAAGCGUUAAUCGGAAUUACUGGGCGUAAAGCGCGCGUAGGUGGUUUGUUAAGUUGGAUGUGAAAGCCCUGGGCUCAACCUAGGAACUGCAUCCAAAACUAACUCACUAGAGUACGAUAGAGGGAGGUAGAAUUCAUAGUGUAGCGGUGGAAUGCGUAGAUAUUAUGAAGAAUACCAGUGGCGAAGGCGGCCUCCUGGAUCUGUACUGACACUGAGGUGCGAAAGCGUGGGUAGCGAACAGGAUUAGAUACCCUGGUAGUCCACGCCGUAAACGAUGACAACUAGCUGUUGGGAGACUAUGUCUUUCAGUGGCGCAGCUAACGCUUUAAGUUGUCCGCCUGGGGAGUACGGCCGCAAGGCUAAAACUCAAAUGAAUUGACGGGGACCCGCACAAGCGGUGGAGCAUGUGGUUUAAUUCGAUGCAACGCGAAAAACCUUACCUACUCUUGACAUACUUGGAGGCUCUUGUAAUGAGAGUGUGCCUUUUGGAACCAAGAUACAGGUGCUGCAUGGCUGUCGUCAGCUCGUGUCGUGAGAUGUUCCGUUAAGUCGGAUAACGAGCGCAACCCUUACCCUUAUUUGCCAGCGAUUCGGUCGGGAACUAUAAGGGGACUGCCGGUGAUAAACCGGAGGAAGGUGAGGACGACGUCAAGUCAUCAUGGCCCUUACGAGUAGGGCUACACACGUGCUACAAUGGGAGAUACAGACGGACGCUAAGCCGCGAGGGGGAGCCAAUCCGAGAAAACUUGUCGUAGUCCGGAUCGAAGUCUGCAACUCGACUUCGUGAAGUCGGAAUCGCUAGUAAUCGCGAAUCAGAAUGUCGCGGUGAAUACGUUCCCGGGCCUUGUACACACCGCCCGUCACACCAUGGGAGUGGGUUGCUCCAGAAGUAAUUAGUCUAACCUUCGGGAGGGCGAUUACCACGGAGUGACUCAUGACUGGGGUGAAGUCGUAACAAGGUAACC